RNAcentral lists this ribosomal RNA (468 nucleotides) under uncultured bacterium. RNAcentral describes it as "partial 16S ribosomal RNA". It matches the Rfam family "Bacterial small subunit ribosomal RNA", at positions 28 to 507 of the family's 1533-position model. The record is from RNAcentral.
GACGAACGCUGGCGGCGUGCUUAACACAUGCAAGUCGAACGGAAAGGCCCUGCUUUUGUGGGGUGCUCGAGUGGCGAACGGGUGAGUAACACGUGAGUAACCUGCCCUUGACUUUGGGAUAACUUCAGGAAACUGGGGCUAAUACCGGAUAGGAGCUCCUGCUGCAUGGUGGGGGUUGGAAAGUUUCGGCGGUUGGGGAUGGACUCGCGGCUUAUCAGCUUGUUGGUGGGGUAGUGGCUUACCAAGGCUUUGACGGGUAGCCGGCCUGAGAGGGUGACCGGGCACAUUGGGACUGAGGUACGGCCCAGACUCCUACGGGAGGCAGCAGUGGGGAAUAUUGCACAAUGGGCGGAAGCCGGAUGCAGCAACGCCGCGUGCGGGAUGACGGCCUUCGGGUUGUAAACCGCUUUCGCCUGUGACGAAGCGUGAGUGACGGUAAUGGGUAAAGAAGCACCGGCUAACUACGUG